UUAAAGUUGUUGCAGUUAAMAAGCUCGUAGUUGAACCUUGGGCCUGGCUGGCCGGUCCGCCUCACCGCGUGCACUGGUCCGGCCGGGCCUUUCCUCCUGGGGAGCCGCAUGCCCUUCACUGGGUGUGUCGGGGAACCAGGACUUUUACUUUGAAAAAAUUAGAGUGUUCAAAGCAGGCCUAUGCUCGAAUACAUUAGCAUGGAAUAAUA
Molecule: ribosomal RNA, 209 nt
Filed under: uncultured eukaryote
Lineage: Eukaryota
Description: partial 18S ribosomal RNA
Rfam family: Eukaryotic small subunit ribosomal RNA
Source: RNAcentral